This 451-nucleotide ribosomal RNA is filed under the name uncultured bacterium. RNAcentral describes it as "bacterial SSU rRNA". It matches the Rfam family "Bacterial small subunit ribosomal RNA", at positions 340 to 786 of the family's 1533-position model. The record is from RNAcentral.
UACGGGAGGCAGCAGUGGGGAAUAUUGCACAAUGGGCGAAAGCCUGAUGCAGCUAUGCCGCGUGUAUGAAGAAGGCCUUAGGGUUGUAAAGUACUUUCAUCGGGGAGGAAAAAACAAAACUAAUAAUUUUAUUUCUUGACGUUACCCGAAAAAGAAGCACCGGCUAACUCCGUGCCAGCAGCCGCGGUAAUACGGAGGGUGCGAGCGUUAAUCGGAAUUACUGGGCGUAAAGGGCACGCAGGCGGUUAAUUAAGUUGGAUGUGAAAUCCCCGGGCUUAACCUGGGAAUGGCAUUCAAGACUGGUUAGCUAGAGUCUUGUAGAGGGGGUAGAAUUCCAUGUGUAGCGGUGAAAUGCGUAGAGAUGUGGAGGAAUACCGGUGGCGAAGGCGGCCCCUGGACAAGACUGACGCUCAUGUGCGAAAGCGUGGGGAGCAAACAGGGAUUAGAUACC